AACCUCCGCAAUGUGAGAAAUCGCGACGGGGGGAUCCCAAGUGCCAUUCUUAACGGGAUGGCUUUUCAUUAGUGUAAAAAGCUUUUGGAAUAAGAGCUGGGCAAGACCGGUGCCAGCCGCCGCGGUAACACCGGCAGCUCUAGUGGUAGCAAUUUUUAUUGGGCCUAAAGCGUCCGUAGCCGGUUUAAUAAGUCUCUGGUGAAAUCCUGUAGCUUAACUGUGGGAAUUGCUGGAGAUACUAUUAGACUUGAGACCGGGAGAGGUUAGAGGUACUCCCAGGGUAGAGGUGGAAUUCUGUAAUCCUGGGAGGACCGCCUGUUGCGAAGGCGUCUAACUGGAACGGUUCUGACGGUGAGGGACGAAAGUUAGGGGCGCGAACCGGAUUAGAUACCCGGGUAGUCCUAACUGUAAACGAUGCGGACUUGGUGUUGGGGGGGCUUUGAGCUGCUCCAGUGCCGAAGGGAAGCUGUUAAGUCCGCCGCCGGGAAGGUACGGUCGCAAGACUGAAACUUAAAAGGAAA
RNAcentral lists this ribosomal RNA (521 nucleotides) under uncultured bacterium. Its description in RNAcentral is "bacterial SSU rRNA". It matches the Rfam family "Archaeal small subunit ribosomal RNA", at positions 345 to 866 of the family's 1478-position model. The record is from RNAcentral.